Long non-coding RNA from Orussus abietinus, 2130 nucleotides. RefSeq lists it as uncharacterized. The record is from RefSeq and is a predicted model, not a curated record. Lineage: Eukaryota; Metazoa; Arthropoda; Insecta; Hymenoptera; Orussidae. The transcript is spliced from 10 exons.
GCCAUUGACUUUGUAGUUGUAAGGUCCCUUUUUAGUUGUAACCUAGAAAAACUUUUGCUACCGAUGUUUUCGACUUUAGACAGUGAAAUGAUUGAAAAUUAAUUUCGAAUCAGAGAUGACUUGGUCCCGAAUCACAUAUUUUGAAGGAAGAUCAGUGGAUUUGUUGCGAGGAAAAUCAUUUGUCAGAAUGGAAUUCGUAAAUAUAAUGUUUCACUUUGCCGACACAAGUGCGGAUAGAGUGCGAAACAAGUGAUGGAUGCGAGUUUGAAUGUAAUGAAAAAAAGAUAAUAUUUUGUGCAGGAUGUACAAGUGAGAUGUAUUUCGAACAAUGAGUGAUUUUUCUCAGCCUAAUUUCGCCGUUGCUGAAGACCACUGGCAGUCCUUUUAAGAGAGAGAACACCCUGCUUCAAGUAUUGAGUUUCCAGCUGGUGGUAAACUACCCUGUGGGGCGAUAUGUCGUCACUUCCUGAGGGCGGUUCAUUCGAGGCAGGAAACGUAUGGAAAUGUGCAAAUUGACAGAAUGCGACAUCCAGCUUUAUCAUUCGUCACGUAGGAAGUGAAUGACCUCGUGUUCAUCAUUUGUAUAUUAACCGUGAGGAUUUUUGAAAGAGCGUUACUGAAAACGACUGGCAGUCUUCUAAUAAGAGGGAAUACCCUGCUCCAAGUAUUGAGUUUCCAGCUGGUGGCAAAGCACCUCGCGGUGCGGAAUGGCGUUACCCCUUAAAGGCGGUUCGUUCGAGAUUCCCGUCACCCCCUGGGAGGUUUCAGGGGCCCUUAACGAGCACUGUCCAUCCGGGAUUGUUUCCUGCAUCAAACGAGUCCACAAAGGUCCAGCAUACGUUACCGGACCCACGCAAUGCCAGGGAUAAUCGAUGAUUUACGUUCCGCACUCUUGGCAGCAAGUGCUCUUCUUGAUCGUACAAGUUGUCAAACGAUUUGACAUUACCCCGUCAAUUCGAGGCCCGUUACGUGAUUUAAUGGAUGCACGGCGGUAGGAAAAGUGAGGAUGGCCCAGCUAGUGGUAUCCUCUCUGCUCCGAGAAUCCGCAUUUACGUCGCCUUUGAAGACCUGCAUUACUCUAAUUACGCAGAGCGGAUUGCAGGGAGGAGAUUAUAGAGAGACCAGCCCAUACAUUGUUAUAAAGUAUUAUUCUUUUUCCCGAUUCGACAGAACGUUACAGGUGAUAACAAGAUUUAGGGAUGAAGGAAAUAUUUAGAUUCUGGUACUUGUAGCCUUUUUUUAAAAUGGAUUUACCUAUCCGGGCAUACUGGCGGUAUUACAGAAUGUGCGCUCUUGUUCAUGAUUACGCGUUUAAGCGGUAAUUAAGGGGCGGACGUGCAGCUUGGCGGGAUUGCUUGCCGAAGCUUUCGGUUGUUUCCGGCCCGAGGAAGGGUUAACUAACGAUGUAACGACAAGUGCGGAUGUCUCGGAAGUUGUCCGACUUACCAAUCCGAGGAAGGGGAAACUAAUCGCUCGUUAGGGGACAAUUCGGCAGCGGUAAUGCGUCCUCGGUGGUGGAGUUCUACCGACUGUCUCAUACCGACUACAAGUGCUCCAAUUUCCUCCGAGCUCAGCACGGGAUCACAUCUGGAUUCAUUGCCAGGGCCAUUAGUGAUCAGCCCUUAGAGAUUUACAGCUCGCAGAGAAAAUGGCGUUCCACGUUUGAAUAUGCAAAAAUUAGGAAGGUUGCAUCGCAAGCCGAAUAUAUCAUUCGAUGUCAUGGGAUUUCCCUUGAAUUUAUUAUGAAGACAAUUGGCGUCCUUCAGAAGUUUCAGGCUUACAGGAAUUGCGUCUUUUGGAGAAUUGAAAAAAAAGAAGAUAUCAUCGUAAGCAAGAUAUUGCACUUUUUAUUCACGUCGCGCAAUGGAUUCGAGCUGUUUUGCUGAGGACAGGAUGGGAGUCAUUGAAUGGUUUAUGACGAACGUUCGCAAUUGUUUUAAACGAGAAAAGCCAGCACGGUUACGUCUCACUGGUUCGAAGUAAUUCAUCGUUGACUGAUAAAACUGAUAUGUAUCAAGGAAGUCGAGUCAACUAAUGAAAACAAGAGCAUAAGUCUUUGGCGGUAAGAAAUAACGAACAUCGGGAGAGAACGACUAUUUCACCGUAAACAUUUUCGAUUUCUGUAACUUU